AGCGUUAAUCGGAAUUACUGGGCGUAAAGCGUGCGCAGGCGGUUAUGUAAGACAGAUGUGAAAUCCCCGGGCUCAACCUGGGAACUGCAUUUGUGACUGCAUGGCUAGAGUACGGUAGAGGGGGAUGGAAUUCCGCGUGUAGCAGUGAAAUGCGUAGAUAUGCGGAGGAACACCGAUGGCGAAGGCAAUCCCCUGGACCUGUACUGACGCUCAUGCACGAAAGCGUGGGGAGCAAACAGGAUU
Molecule: ribosomal RNA, 243 nt
Filed under: Delftia tsuruhatensis
Lineage: Bacteria; Pseudomonadati; Pseudomonadota; Betaproteobacteria; Burkholderiales; Comamonadaceae
Description: partial 16S ribosomal RNA
Rfam family: Bacterial small subunit ribosomal RNA
Source: RNAcentral